RNAcentral lists this ribosomal RNA (474 nucleotides) under uncultured bacterium. RNAcentral describes it as "bacterial SSU rRNA". It matches the Rfam family "Bacterial small subunit ribosomal RNA", at positions 28 to 492 of the family's 1533-position model. The record is from RNAcentral.
GAUGAACGCUAGCGGCAGGCUUAAUACAUGCAAGUCGAGGGGCAGCACGGGUAGCAAUACCUGGUGGCGACCGGCAAACGGGUGCGGAACACGUACGCAACCUUCCCAUAACUGGUGAAUAGCCCUCCGAAAGGAGGAUUAAUACACCGUAACAUAAUGAAGUGGCAUCACUUUAUUAUUAUAGGCAGCAAUGUCGGUUUUGGAUGGGCGUGCGCCUGAUUAGGUAGUUGGCGGGGUAACGGCCCACCAAGCCUGCGAUCAGUAACUGGUGUGAGAGCACGACCAGUCACACGGGCACUGAGACACGGGCCCGACUCCUACGGGAGGCAGCAGUAAGGAUAUUGGUCAAUGGACGAAAGUCUGAACCAGCCAUGCCGCGUGAAGGGAUGACGGGCCCUCUGGGUUGUAAACUUCUUUUAUAUGGGGACGAAAAAAGGGAUUCUUUCUCACUUGACGGUACCAUAAGAAUAAGCA